AGAGUUUGAUCCUGGCUCAGAUUGAACGCUGGCGGAAUGCUUUACACAUGCAAGUCGAGCGGCAGCGCGGGGCAACCUGGCGGCGAGCGGCGAACGGGUGAGUAACAUAUCGGAACGUAUCCAUAAGUGGGGGACAACCUGGCGAAAGCCAGGCUAAUACCGCAUACGCUCGAGAGAGGAAAGUGGGGGAUCGUAAGACCUCACGCUUUGGGAGCGGCCGAUAUCAGAUUAGCUAGAUGGUGGGGUAAAGGCUUACCAUGGCGACGAUCUGUAGCUGGUCUGAGAGGAUGAUCAGCCACACUGGGACUGAGACACGGCCCAGACUCCUACGGGAGGCAGCAGUGGGGAAUUUUGGACAAUGGGGGCAACCCUGAUCCAGCCAUUCCGCGUGAGUGAAGAAGGCCUUCGGGUUGUAAAGCUCUUUUGUCGGGGACGAAACGGUUACAGCUAAUAUCCGUGACUACUGACGGUACCGGAAGAAUAAGCACCGGCUAACUACGUGCCAGCAGCCGCGGUAAU
Molecule: ribosomal RNA, 519 nt
Filed under: uncultured bacterium
Lineage: Bacteria
Description: bacterial SSU rRNA
Rfam family: Bacterial small subunit ribosomal RNA
Source: RNAcentral